GAUCAUGGCUCAGGAUGAACGCUAGCUACAGGCUUAACACAUGCAAGUCGAGGGGCAGCAUGUUGGUUGCUUGCAACCGAUGAUGGCGACCGGCGCACGGGUGAGUAACGCGUAUCCACCUACCCUUCGUUCCACUCGGAUAACCCGUCCGAAAGGACGGCCUAACACGAUAUGCGGUUCACAGCAGGCAUCUAACGUGAACGAAAUGUGAAGGAGAAGGAUGGGGAGUGCGU
This 233-nucleotide ribosomal RNA is filed under the name uncultured bacterium. RNAcentral's name for it is "partial 16S ribosomal RNA". It matches the Rfam family "Bacterial small subunit ribosomal RNA", at positions 15 to 236 of the family's 1533-position model. The record is from RNAcentral.